GGCACAACCAGUGAGAUAAAAAUGACACCACCGUUGAGAAAUUGACCAAAACCUGAGAGCCCUCGAAAAAUUAGACUGAAGUGGAAAAAAAAAAAUUCAAACUCAUCAGACAUAUGAGGACAUUGAAAAUCCUGAGAGAUCCGGUGACAGGCCACCUAAGAAGCUGGGAUCCAGGUUUCAAUGGCCAGUGUGCCUUUGCUGCACGGACCACAGCCUUAGCUGACCUCAGCUGAGUUGCUCACCUGUCACUUCGAGCCUUCAACAGACACUAAAGCCUAGAGUUGUUCCAUGUGGGAGAUACUGCUGCUGCUACUGCUAAGUCGCUUCAGUUGUGUCUGACUCUGUGCGACCCCAUAGACAG
Molecule: long non-coding RNA, 361 nt
Organism: Bos taurus (domestic cattle)
Lineage: Eukaryota; Metazoa; Chordata; Mammalia; Artiodactyla; Bovidae
Source: Ensembl